CCCCUAGUAACGGCGAGUGAAGCGGGAAGAGCUCAAAUUUGAAAUCUGGCGGUCUACGGCCGUCCGAGUUGUAAUCUAGAGAGGUGUUUUCCGUGCCGGACCGUGUACAAGUCCCUUGGAACAGGGCGUCAUAGAGGGUGAGAAUCCCGUCCAUGACACGGACUACCGGUGCUCUGUGAUACACCUUCAAAGAGUCGAGUUGUUUGGGAAUGCAGCUCAAAAUGGGUGGUAAAUUCCAUCUAAAGCUAAAUACAGGCGAGAGACCGAUAGCGAACAAGUACCGUGAGGGAAAGAUGAAAAGAACUUUGGAAAGAGAGUUAAACAGUACGUGAAAUUGUUGAAAGGGAAACGCUUGAAGUCAGUCGCGUCUGCCAGGACUCAGCCUUGCUUCUGCAUGGUGCAUUUCCCGGUGGAUGGGCCAGCAUCGAUUUUGGUCGCCGGACAAGGGCGGGAGGAAUGUGGCAGCUUGCUGUGUUAUAGCCUCCCGUCGUACACGGUGGUUGGGAUCGAGGACUGCAGCACGCCUUUGGUCGGGGUUCGCCCACGCCACGUGCUUAGGAUGCUGGCGUAAUGGCUUUAAACGACCCGUCUUGAAACACGGACCAAGGAGUCUAACAUGCCUGCGAGUGUUUGGGCGUUAAACCCAGGCGCGUAAUGAAAGUGAAAAGUUGGGACUCUUUAGUGAGGCACCGACGCCCGAUCCUGACGUUCUCUGACGGAUUUGAGGUAGAGCAUGUAUGUUGGGACCCGAAAGAUGGUGAACUAUGCCUGAAUAGGGUGAAGCCAGAGGAAACUCUGGUGGAGGCUCGUAGCGAUUCUGACGUGCAAAU
RNAcentral lists this ribosomal RNA (830 nucleotides) under Heteroradulum kmetii. RNAcentral's name for it is "partial large subunit ribosomal RNA". It matches the Rfam family "Eukaryotic large subunit ribosomal RNA", at positions 77 to 898 of the family's 3401-position model. Lineage: Eukaryota; Fungi; Basidiomycota; Agaricomycetes; Auriculariales; Auriculariaceae. The record is from RNAcentral.